This 119-nucleotide ribosomal RNA is filed under the name Schizosaccharomyces pombe (fission yeast). The record is from RNAcentral. Lineage: Eukaryota; Fungi; Ascomycota; Schizosaccharomycetes; Schizosaccharomycetales; Schizosaccharomycetaceae.
GUCUACGGCCAUACCUAGGUGAAAACACCAGUUCCCGUCCGAUCACUGCAGUUAAGCGUCUGAGGGCCUCGUUAGUACUAUGGUUGGAGACAACAUGGGAAUCCGGGGUGCUGUAGGUU